GCUGUUGUAGCUCAGUGGUAGAGCACUUGCCUAGCUCAUGUGAGGCACUGAGUUCAAUCCUCAGCAACACA
RNAcentral lists this transfer RNA (71 nucleotides) under Marmota marmota marmota (Alpine marmot). It matches the Rfam family "tRNA". From Rfam's summary of the family: Transfer RNA (tRNA) molecules are approximately 80 nucleotides in length. Their secondary structure includes four short double-helical elements and three loops (D, anti-codon, and T loops). RNAcentral also lists the same sequence under 1 other name. The record is from Rfam by way of RNAcentral. Lineage: Eukaryota; Metazoa; Chordata; Mammalia; Rodentia; Sciuridae.